This 178-nucleotide ribosomal RNA is filed under the name uncultured bacterium. RNAcentral describes it as "partial 16S rRNA". It matches the Rfam family "Bacterial small subunit ribosomal RNA", at positions 338 to 524 of the family's 1533-position model. The record is from RNAcentral.
CCUACGGGAGGCAGCAGUGGGGAAUAUUGCGCAAUGGGCGGAAGCCUGAGCAGCGAGCGCCGCGUGGGGGAUGACGGCCUUCGGGUUGUAAACCUCUUUCGACCUUGACGAAGGCCUUCGGGUUGACGGUGGGGGUAGAAGAAGCACCGGUCAACUACGUGCCAGCAGCCGCGGUAAU